GGUUUUUUACUUUAUUAACUGUUUUUGAGCAACACAUACCAAUUUAAAUUUCAAUUUCUUUAAAAAUCAAAACUUUCAACAACGGAUCUCUUGGUUCUCGCAUCGAUGAAGAACGCAGCGAAUUGCGAUACGUAUCAUGACUUGCAGACGUGAAUCAUCAAUCUUUGAACGCACAUUGCGCCUUGAGGUAUUCCUCAAGGCAUGCCUGUUUGAGCGUCGGCUCCCUUCAAACCCCCGGGUUUGGUGUUGCCUUCCGAAAUAUCACAGUUGUCGCAAUACGUUACUUCAACUUUAUUCUUUCGCCCUCAAAUCAGGUAGGACUACCCGCUGAACUUAAGCAUAUCAAUAAGCGGAGGAA
Molecule: ribosomal RNA, 358 nt
Filed under: Sungouiella intermedia
Lineage: Eukaryota; Fungi; Ascomycota; Pichiomycetes; Serinales; Metschnikowiaceae
Description: eukaryotic LSU rRNA
Rfam family: 5.8S ribosomal RNA (bases 71-219)
Source: RNAcentral